AUCUUUGCACUUGGGGCAAUAACGUAGUCCGUGAGGUUCUAACCGAGACACGUCUAUUGCUGGUUGAAAACUAUUUCCAGCUCAAAUAUAAUAAAAUUUAUACUUUCAACCCAAAAAUUAAGGAAAAAAAAGAAUUUUUGAGCUUUACUUGAAA
Small nuclear RNA from Quercus robur (English oak), 154 nucleotides. RefSeq annotates it as U4 spliceosomal RNA. The transcript has a single exon. NCBI's taxonomy places the organism in Eukaryota, Viridiplantae, Streptophyta, Magnoliopsida, Fagales, Fagaceae. The record is from RefSeq and is a predicted model, not a curated record.